RNAcentral lists this ribosomal RNA (302 nucleotides) under uncultured bacterium. RNAcentral's name for it is "bacterial SSU rRNA". It matches the Rfam family "Bacterial small subunit ribosomal RNA", at positions 28 to 332 of the family's 1533-position model. The record is from RNAcentral.
GAUGAACGCUAGCGGCAGGCUUAACACAUGCAAGUCGAGGGGUAGAGGAAGCUUGCUUCCUUGAGACCGGCGCACGGGUGCGUAACGCGUAUACAAUCUACCUUUUACAGAGGGAUAGCCCAGAGAAAUUUGGAUUAAUACCUCAUAGUAUUUUCGGAUCGCAUGAUUUGAUUAUUAAAGUUCCAACGGUAAAGAUGAGUAUGCGUCCCAUUAGCUAGAUGGUAAGGUAACGGCUUACCAUGGCAAUGAUGGGUAGGGGUCCUGAGAGGGAGAUCCCCCACACUGGUACUGAGACACGGACC